RNAcentral lists this long non-coding RNA (466 nucleotides) under Salmo salar (Atlantic salmon). RNAcentral describes it as "lncRNA (ENSSSAG00000106058.1)". Lineage: Eukaryota; Metazoa; Chordata; Actinopteri; Salmoniformes; Salmonidae. The record is from RNAcentral.
GACAGAACGCUGUAGAGAGGACACUACAGGAGACAGAACGCUGUAGAGAGGACACUACAGGAGACAGAACGCUGUAUAGAGGACACUACAGGAGACAGAACGCUGUAGAGAGGACACUACAGGAGACAGAACGCUGUAGAGAGGACACUACAGGAGGCAGAACGCUGUAGAGAGGACACUACAGGAGACAGAACGCUGUAGAGAGGACACUACAGGAGACAGAACGCUGUAGAGAGGACACUACAGGAGGCAGAACGCUGUAGAGAGGACACUACAGGAGACAGAACGCUGUAGAGAGGACACUGCAGGAGACAGAACGCUGUAGAGAGGACACUACAGGAGACAGAACGCUGUAGAGAGGACACUACAGGAGACAGAACGCUGUAGAGAGGACACUACAGGAGACAGAACGCUGUAGAGAGGACACUACAGGAGACUGAACGCUGUAGAGAGGACACUACAGGAG